AAGUCGUAACAAGGUAACCGUAGGUGAACCUGCGGUUGGAUCAUUAACAAUGGUUUUCAAACCUUUGUUCUGUGCACUGUAUUGUUCUUGGUGUUUUCCGCCUCUUUCUUUGGAGAGGAGCGGAGGCACCGACAUUUUUAAACCAUGUAUUGUAUCGAGUCUUGAAUUUGUAUUAAAAUGAAAAACUUUUGACAACGGAUCUCUUGGCUCUC
This 212-nucleotide unclassified non-coding RNA is filed under the name fungal sp. RNAcentral describes it as "partial internal transcribed spacer region". The stretch from base 1 to 46 matches the Rfam family "Eukaryotic small subunit ribosomal RNA", at positions 1786 to 1831 of the family's 1831-position model. The record is from RNAcentral. Lineage: Eukaryota; Fungi.